GGAGAGGUACCGAAGUGGCUUACCGGAGCGGUUUCGAAAACCGCGUCCCCUUUGGGGACUCGUGAGUUCGAAUCUCACCCUCUCCG
Molecule: transfer RNA, 86 nt
Filed under: bacterium
Lineage: Bacteria
Description: tRNA-Ser
Rfam family: tRNA
About the family: Transfer RNA (tRNA) molecules are approximately 80 nucleotides in length.
Source: RNAcentral